UGCAAUGUGGUGUAGUGGUUUGAGCGUUGGACUAUGACUCUGGAGACCAGGGUUCAGUUCCCUGCUCAG
This 69-nucleotide transfer RNA is filed under the name Phrynosoma platyrhinos (Desert horned lizard). RNAcentral's name for it is "tRNA-OTHER". Lineage: Eukaryota; Metazoa; Chordata; Lepidosauria; Squamata; Phrynosomatidae. The record is from RNAcentral.